UACGAAGGGGGCUAGCGUUGCUCGGAUUGACUGGGCGUAAAGGGCGCGUAGGCGGUUUGUACAGUCAGACGUGAAAUUCCUGGGCUCAACCUGGGGGCUGCGUUUGAUACGUGCAGACUUGAGUUCGGAAGAGGGUCGUGGAAUUCCCAGUGUAGAGGUGAAAUUCGUAGAUAUUGGGAAGAACACCGGUGGCGAAGGCGGCGACCUGGUCCGAUACUGACGCUGAGGCGCGAAAGCGUGGGGAGCAAACGGG
This 253-nucleotide ribosomal RNA is filed under the name uncultured bacterium. RNAcentral describes it as "partial 16S ribosomal RNA". It matches the Rfam family "Bacterial small subunit ribosomal RNA", at positions 524 to 776 of the family's 1533-position model. The record is from RNAcentral.